Molecule: ribosomal RNA, 464 nt
Filed under: uncultured bacterium
Lineage: Bacteria
Description: partial 16S ribosomal RNA
Rfam family: Bacterial small subunit ribosomal RNA
Source: RNAcentral
CUACGGGCCGCAGCAGUCGAGAAUAAUUCACAAUGGGGGCAACCCUGAUGGUGCAACGCCGCGUGGAGGAUGAAGGCCCUAGGGUCGUAAACUCCUGUCAUUUGAGAGUAAGACCUGGUCGUUAACAGCGGACAGGGUUGAUAGUAUCAAAAGAGGAAGGGACGGCUAACUUCGUGCCAGCAGCCGCGGUAAUACGAAGGUCCCGAGCGUUGUUCGGAAUCACUGGGCGUAAAGGGAGCGUAGGCGGUCUGGUAAGUCAGAUGUGAAAUCUCGGGGCUUAACCCCGAAACUGCAUCCGAUACUGCCUGACUUGAGUAAUGGAGGGGUAGCUGGAAUUCUCGGUGUAGCAGUGAAAUGCGUGGAUAUCGAGAGGAACACUCGUGGCGAAGGCGAGCUACUGGACAUUUACUGACGCUGAGGCUCGAAGGCCAGGGUAGCGAAAGGGAUUAGAUACCCGAGUAGUC